This 28-nucleotide non-coding RNA is filed under the name Bombyx mori (domestic silkworm). Lineage: Eukaryota; Metazoa; Arthropoda; Insecta; Lepidoptera; Bombycidae. The record is from RNAcentral.
UGAUUACAUAGGAGCUAUAGACCGUGGU